This 67-nucleotide transfer RNA is filed under the name Arcuatula senhousia (Asian date mussel). Its description in RNAcentral is "tRNA-Gln". Lineage: Eukaryota; Metazoa; Mollusca; Bivalvia; Mytilida; Mytilidae. The record is from RNAcentral.
UUUUAGGUAGUAUACUUAGUACAUAAAGUUUUGAUCUUUAUAGAGUUGCUAAAAGCAGCCUUAAAAU